AACGAACGCUGGCGGCAUGCCUAACACAUGCAAGUCGAACGAGACCUUCGGGUCUAGUGGCGCACGGGUGCGUAACGCGUGGGAACCUGCCCUUAGGCUCGGAAUAACUCCCCGAAAGGGGUGCUAAUACCGGGUAAUGUCUUCGGACCAAAGAUUUAUCCCCUUUGGAUGGGCCCGCGUUGGAUUAGCUAGUUGGUAGGGUAAAAGCCUACCACGGCGACGAUCCAUAGCUGGUCUGAGAGGAUGAUCAGCCACACUGGGACUGAGACACGGCCCAGACUCCUACGGGAAGCGGCAGUGGGGGAUAUUGGACAAUGGGCGAAAGCCUGAUCCAGCAAUGCCGCGUGAGUGAUGAAGGCCUUAGGGUUGUAAAGCUCUUUUACCCGGGAUGAUAAUGACAGUACCGGGAGAAUAAGCACCGGCUAACUCCGUG
Molecule: ribosomal RNA, 433 nt
Filed under: uncultured bacterium
Lineage: Bacteria
Description: partial 16S ribosomal RNA
Rfam family: Bacterial small subunit ribosomal RNA
Source: RNAcentral